RNAcentral lists this ribosomal RNA (1478 nucleotides) under Vibrio parahaemolyticus. RNAcentral's name for it is "partial 23S ribosomal RNA". It matches the Rfam family "Bacterial large subunit ribosomal RNA", at positions 1 to 1531 of the family's 2925-position model. Lineage: Bacteria; Pseudomonadati; Pseudomonadota; Gammaproteobacteria; Vibrionales; Vibrionaceae. The record is from RNAcentral.
GUUGUAUGGUUAAGUGACUAAGCGUACACGGUGGAUGCCUUGGCAGUCAGAGGCGAUGAAAGACGUAGUAACUUGCGAUAAGCCCAGAUUAGGUAGUAACAACCAUUUGAGUCUGGGAUUUCUGAAUGGGGAAACCCACGUGCAUAAGCACGUAUCCUUACCUGAAUACAUAGGGUAAGGAGGCGAACCGGGGGAACUGAAACAUCUAAGUACCCCGAGGAAAAGAAAUCAACCGAGAUUCCGAAAGUAGCGGCGAGCGAAAUUGGACUAGCCCUUAAGCUUUACACGCGUUAGACGAACGGUCUGGAAAGUCCGACGAUACAGGGUGAUAGUCCCGUAGUUGACGACGUGUGUUCAGUGAAAUCGAGUAGGGCGGGACACGUGAUAUCCUGUCUGAAUAUGGGGGGACCAUCCUCCAAGGCUAAAUACUACUGACUGACCGAUAGUGAACCAGUACCGUGAGGGAAAGGCGAAAAGAACCCCUGUGAGGGGAGUGAAAUAGAACCUGAAACCGUGUACGUACAAGCAGUAGGAGCAGGCUUUGUCCUGUGACUGCGUACCUUUUGUAUAAUGGGUCAGCGACUUAUAUUCAGUGGCAAGGUUAACCAUCUAGGGGAGCCGUAGGGAAACCGAGUCUUAACUGGGCGUUCAGUCUCUGGAUAUAGACCCGAAACCAGGUGAUCUAGCCAUGGGCAGGUUGAAGGUUGAGUAACAUCAACUGGAGGACCGAACCGACUAAUGUUGAAAAAUUAGCGGAUGACUUGUGGCUAGGGGUGAAAGGCCAAUCAAACCUGGAGAUAGCUGGUUCUCCCCGAAAGCUAUUUAGGUAGCGCCUCGGACGAAUACUACUGGGGGUAGAGCACUGUUAAGGCUAGGGGGUCAUCCCGACUUACCAACCCUUUGCAAACUCCGAAUACCAGUAAGUACUAUCCGGGAGACACACGGCGGGUGCUAACGUCCGUCGUGGAGAGGGAAACAACCCAGACCGCCAGCUAAGGUCCCAAAUUACUACUAAGUGGGAAACGAUGUGGGAAGGCUCAGACAGCCAGGAUGUUGGCUUAGAAGCAGCCAUCAUUUAAAGAAAGCGUAAUAGCUCACUGGUCGAGUCGGCCUGCGCGGAAGAUGUAACGGGGCUAAGUAGUAAACCGAAGCUGCGGCAAUGUGCUUUUGCACAUUGGGUAGGGGAGCGUUCUGUAAGCGGUUGAAGGUGUGUGGUAACGCAUGCUGGACGUAUCAGAAGUGCGAAUGCUGACAUGAGUAACGAUAAAGGGGGUGAAAAACCUCCUCGCCGGAAGACCAAGGGUUCCUGUCCAACGUUAAUCGGGGCAGGGUAAGUCGACCCCUAAGGCGAGGCCGAAAGGCGUAGUCGAUGGGAAACGGGUUAAUAUUCCCGUACUUCUUACAAUUGCGAUGGGGGGACGGAGAAGGCUAGGUGGGCCUGGCGACGGUUGUCCAGGUUCAAGUGCGUAGGCUGAAGA